RNAcentral lists this RNase P RNA (448 nucleotides) under Sulfuriroseicoccus oceanibius. RNAcentral describes it as "Bacterial RNase P class A". It matches the Rfam family "Bacterial RNase P class A". Rfam says of the family: Ribonuclease P (RNase P) is a ubiquitous endoribonuclease, found in archaea, bacteria and eukarya as well as chloroplasts and mitochondria. Its best characterised activity is the generation of mature 5'-ends of tRNAs by cleaving the 5'-leader elements of precursor-tRNAs. The record is from Rfam by way of RNAcentral. Lineage: Bacteria; Pseudomonadati; Verrucomicrobiota; Verrucomicrobiia; Verrucomicrobiales; Verrucomicrobiaceae.
GCCACGCCCCGGGCGGUCGCGCGGUGGAGACUUCGGUCGUCCGCCGUGAGGAAAGUCCGGACUCCGCAAGGUAGCGUGCCUUGUGAAAGCAAGGGAGCGCCGGCCUCAAAACCGACGCGACGGAAAGUGCCGCAGAAAAUAUACCGCCGAUGGAUGGGCCCAGCCCGUCACAGGUAAGGUUGAAAUGGUGGAGUAAGAGCCCACCGCCCGUCCGGGUAACCGGCGGGGCACGGUAAACCCCACGCGGAGCAAGACAUAACAGAGGAAACGGGUCACCUGCCCGGACCGCAACGCUUCGGCUGCGCGGAUGCUCUCGGGUUCUCGUCGCACCCAGCCCUUCACACGGUUGGGAUCACCGCCCCUGCGGCUGUGAUAGAUAAAUGGUCGCCCAUCGCGGUCGGUUCGCCGCCCGCGUGGACAAAAUCCGGCUUACAGGGGCGUGGCACCU